This 267-nucleotide ribosomal RNA is filed under the name uncultured bacterium. Its description in RNAcentral is "partial 16S ribosomal RNA". It matches the Rfam family "Bacterial small subunit ribosomal RNA", at positions 793 to 1055 of the family's 1533-position model. The record is from RNAcentral.
GUCCUAGCCCUAAACGGUGCACGUUUGCUGUGAGAGGAAUCGACCCCUUUCGUGGCGAAGCUAACGCGUUAAACGUGCCGCCUGGGAAGUACGGCCGCAAGGUUAAAACUCAAAGAAAUUGACGGGGGCCUGCACAAGCGGUGGAGUAUGUGGCUUAAUUCGAUGCAACGCGAAGAACCUUACCUGGCCUUGACAUGUAGGUGGUAGAAGCUUGAAAGGGCAACGACCCCGCAAGGGGAGCCUACACAGGUGCUGCAUGGCUGUCGU